This 836-nucleotide ribosomal RNA is filed under the name Panorpodes paradoxus. Its description in RNAcentral is "partial 16S rRNA". The record is from RNAcentral. Lineage: Eukaryota; Metazoa; Arthropoda; Insecta; Mecoptera; Panorpodidae.
GAAGGUGUAUCUAGAAAGACAAAUUAGAGCUUGAAAAAUAAAGCAUUUCAUUUACAUUGAAAAGUAUAUUGUGUAAUUCAAUUUAAUUUGAUAAUAAAAAUUUAUUAAUUUUUUUUUGUUUAAUAAUUUAUUUAAUAAAAUUAAUUUUAAAUUAAUUUUUUUUGUAUAGUAUAUAGAUCAAAUAAUUUAUAUAAUAGUUAAUUAGUAUUGUAAAAGAAUAUUGAAAUAUAUGAAAAAAUUUUAAAUUAAAAGUAAAUUUUAUAUGUUGUACCUUGUGUAUCAGGGUUUAUUAAUUAAAAGUUAAAAAUUUAAUUUUUCUCGAAUUUAAGAGGGUUAAUUUAUUAUUUAAUUUUUUGUUUCAUAAAAAUUUAAAAUAAUAAAUUAGAAAUGAAAUGUUAUUCGUUCUUUAAUAUAUCUAGUUUUUUAAGAAAUAAAUUAAAUUUAGAUUAUUAAUAAAUAAUUAUUUAUUUAAAUAAUAAAUUAUUAUUAAUAAUUAAUAUUUUAAGGGAUAAGCUUUAAAGUAAGUUUUAUAAUGAUUUUUUAAUUUAAAAAUUAUAGGUUUAGAAAUAGUCAUUAAUUAUAAAAAUGUUAUAAUUUAUUUUAAAUUAAAAAUAAUUUUUAUUGAUUUAAAUUUUUAUUAAAAUAAUUUUUAAAAUUAUAUAAGAAUUAAAAUAAUGAUAAAAUUAGUAUAUUUAAUUGUUUAAAAUAAAUAAAUUAAAAGGUUAAAUUAAGGAAUUCGGCAAAUAAAUACUCGCCUGUUUAACAAAAACAUGUCUUUUUGAGUAUAAUUUAAAGUCUAAUCUGCCCACUGAAAAAUUUUAAAGGGCCGCGGUAUU